This 296-nucleotide long non-coding RNA is filed under the name Carica papaya (papaya). RNAcentral describes it as "long non-coding RNA (CPAP_LNC004476)". Lineage: Eukaryota; Viridiplantae; Streptophyta; Magnoliopsida; Brassicales; Caricaceae. The record is from RNAcentral.
UUGUAGUUAAAUUUUGGAAAGAUUAUACUAGUUUCUUGGUAUAUGAGUAACAUAGUGAAAAAGUGAGCUUCAUUUAUCUUUAAAAAAUAUCCUUAAGAUUUUCUUGAUAAGACAAGAAUGACAGAAUGCAAAUCAUGUUCUAAACCUAUAAGUGUUGUUUAUGUUUUGUUCAAAAUAGCGAGACUCUAUCCAUAAUUAUGUUAACAAACAAUAUGUUCUCUCCAGUAUGCUAUUAUUAGAAGACAGACAUUACAUUUUCUAUCAAUUGCUUAUGUAGUUUCAUGCGUGAUCUUAAA